AUCUGACCAUAGGACUUGGAAGGUCAUAAAGAGGGGUGUGAGUGGGAACCCAUGAGCUUCACAGUCAUGUUCACAGUGCUGACAAAUAUGAGCACCCCACUGCGGGGGUUGAGGUACCCCACACUGAUGACUCUCAGCCAGUGUUUAGUCUGGACUGACUGGUGACUGCUACCUUUGAAAGAACGUGGUAUAGGGCUGGCCUUGGUGACACCUACCUUUCAUUUGAGCAUCUGGGAGGCAGAAAACAGAUGGAUAUCUGUGAGUUCAAGGCUACCCAAGGCUACCUGAGCAGCUCCUCAACAGACCUUGUGAGUAGCCAGCAGAUGGAACUCCUGACCCAACCACCACUAACCGUCUCCAGAUCUGACCUUCAAAUGUCCCUCAAGGACCAAAUAGCAUCCAAGUGGAAUAUGUUCUUGUCCUAGAACCAUGCUUUCAACUUCAAACCUGGAGCUGAGAAAUUCAAAAACAUUUCUCUUAAAA
Long non-coding RNA from Peromyscus maniculatus bairdii (prairie deer mouse), 483 nucleotides. RefSeq lists it as uncharacterized. Lineage: Eukaryota; Metazoa; Chordata; Mammalia; Rodentia; Cricetidae. The record is from RefSeq and is a predicted model, not a curated record.